GCCUUUGUGGUUUAGUGGUCAGCACGGUCGACCCGUACCCGAGAGGUCCAUGGUUCGAUUCCCGGCGAAGGCG
RNAcentral lists this transfer RNA (73 nucleotides) under Stegodyphus mimosarum. It matches the Rfam family "tRNA". Rfam says of the family: Transfer RNA (tRNA) molecules are approximately 80 nucleotides in length. Their secondary structure includes four short double-helical elements and three loops (D, anti-codon, and T loops). Further hydrogen bonds mediate the characteristic L-shaped molecular structure. tRNAs have two regions of fundamental functional importance: the anti-codon, which is responsible for specific mRNA codon recognition, and the 3' end, to which the tRNAs corresponding amino acid is attached (by aminoacyl-tRNA synthetases). tRNAs cope with the degeneracy of the genetic code in two manners: having more than one tRNA (with a specific anti-codon) for a particular amino acid; and 'wobble' base-pairing, i.e. permitting non-standard base-pairing at the 3rd anti-codon position. The record is from Rfam by way of RNAcentral. Lineage: Eukaryota; Metazoa; Arthropoda; Arachnida; Araneae; Eresidae.